Electrophorus electricus (electric eel) is the source of this 474-nucleotide non-coding RNA. NCBI's taxonomy places the organism in Eukaryota, Metazoa, Chordata, Actinopteri, Gymnotiformes, Gymnotidae. The record is from RefSeq and is a predicted model, not a curated record.
CCCGUAAAGUUCAGAGAGAAGCUUGACGUGAGGGCGAAAGAGCAGACAGGCGUAUGCGGCACAGAGAGCAGGCCAAGACAUCUGGAAUCGAGUAACAGAAGGGAUGUUGGAAUGCUCACGUGCACAAAAGGACUUCUGAAUUGUUGGUGUUGGCUGAAGGGAUGGGUUUGGUGUAAUGAAGGACCAGUCAGACAACGUUUGUGAGUUUCACGAUGAACACGGAAUCCUUUCUCUUUAACUUCCUCUCCUACAACCAUUUCAACAUGGUUACUGAAUUCACACAAACCACUGAGUCAUUUACAGUAGUUAAUGUGGAUAAUGGUGUUAAGAUUAAUAACUCCUUCAUAUCUGAAUAAUAAUUCACACUAAUUACUGAGUCAUUUGCCUUAAUAUGAAACACCAAAUACUGGAGAUUAAGAGGUCUUCAUCUGAUCCCAGAACAGUCACACCUACCUUCAAGUUAAUCUGAACUAG